This 253-nucleotide ribosomal RNA is filed under the name uncultured bacterium. Its description in RNAcentral is "partial 16S ribosomal RNA". It matches the Rfam family "Bacterial small subunit ribosomal RNA", at positions 524 to 776 of the family's 1533-position model. The record is from RNAcentral.
UACGAAGGGGGCUAGCGUUGCUCGGAAUCACUGGGCGUAAAGGGCGCGUAGGCGGAUCUUUAAGUCAGGGGUGAAAUCCUGGAGCUCAACUCCAGAACUGCCUUUGAUACUGAGGAUCUUGAGUUCGGGAGAGGUGAGUGGAACUGCGAGUGUAGAGGUGAAAUUCGUAGAUAUUCGCAAGAACACCAGUGGCGAAGGCGGCUCACUGGCCCGAUACUGACGCUGAGGAGCGAAAGCGUGGGGAGCGAACAGG